GAACUGAAGAGUUUGAUCAUGGCUCAGAUUGAACGCUGGCGGCAGGCCUAACACAUGCAAGUCGAGCGGAUGAAGGGAGCUUGCUCCUGGAUUUAGCGGCGGACGGGUGAGUAAUGCCUAGGAAUCUGCCUGGUGGUGGGGGAUAACGUUCGGAAACGGGCGCUAAUACCGCAUACGUCCUACGGGAGAAAGCGGGGGAUCUUCGGACCUCGCGCCAUUAGAUGAGCCUAGGUCGGAUUAGCUAGUUGGUGAGGUAAUGGCUCACCAAGGCUACGAUUCAGUGGCGCUGAAGGCUGAUGUAGAGCUGGGUGGGACUGAUCAGAAGUUCAAUCUGUUGAUGGGGCGUGAGCUGCAGCGUGCCUACGGCCAGUCUUCUCAGUGCGUGGUCACAAUGCCGCUGUUGGAGGGGUUGGAUGGCGUUAAGAAGAUGUCGAAGUCCCUUGGGAACUAUGUCGGCAUCCAAGAAGCGCCAGGUGUGA
RNAcentral lists this non-coding RNA (479 nucleotides) under Pseudomonas sp. TTU2014-080ASC. Its description in RNAcentral is "Bacterial small subunit ribosomal RNA". It matches the Rfam family "Bacterial small subunit ribosomal RNA", at positions 1 to 359 of the family's 1533-position model. Lineage: Bacteria; Pseudomonadati; Pseudomonadota; Gammaproteobacteria; Pseudomonadales; Pseudomonadaceae. The record is from Rfam by way of RNAcentral.